GGUGGCAGGGAAAUUCGACUCCACAAACCACAGGCCUCGGCGGGGGAAGAGCACUGCGGGCGCCAGCGAAGCGAAACCAAACAGAGCCGCGGCACGCAGGCGCAAAGGCUGGCGCGCCGCUCCGCCGUGCAGGUGUUGGCGAAGCGCUCCUCCGAAAGGUUUCGGAAGCCGGUGGUAGCUCUGAAGAUAACGCUGCGUUAGGGCAUGCUGCGGCGCAGGAUGCAACUCCGAUUGAAAGCAGUUGCUGGAGUGGAGCACGAAUUUCAAAAAGCUGCAUGUUGAAGUGUGAGGCGUGAAAGGAUAUGUCUGAUAUUUGCUUUAAAAUGCCCCAGCAAAGAAAUUAAGGGAUGGAUGAAGCAAAACAGCCAGGUGUGGUGGCUCAUGCCUCUAAUCCCAGCAUUUUGGGAGGCCGAAGCAGGCAGAUCACCUGAGGUCAGGAGUUUGAGACCAUCCUGACCAACAUGGUGAAACUCGUCUCUACUACAAAUACAAAAAAAUUAGCCGGGUGUGGUACCAUGCACCUGUAAUCCCAGCUACGCUUCUGGAGGCUCAGACAGGAGAACUGCUUGAACCGGGAGGCGGAGGUUGCAGUGAGCUGAGAUCGCACCACUGCAUUCCAGCCUGGGCAACAGAGUGAGACUCCAUCUCAUUUAAAAAAAAAAAAAAAAAAAAGUAAAGAAAAAAAUAAAAUGUCUUUAUUUCAUUUUCUUUCCUAAAGAAUAUAUUUGCUGGAUAAAGGAUUCUGUGUUGACAGUUUUGUUGCUUUUUUAAAGCACUUUAUAAAUGUUGCUCCAUGGUUUCUGAUGAGAAAUCUACCAUCACUGAAAU
Molecule: non-coding RNA, 828 nt
Filed under: Pongo abelii (Sumatran orangutan)
Lineage: Eukaryota; Metazoa; Chordata; Mammalia; Primates; Hominidae
Source: RNAcentral